RNAcentral lists this transfer RNA (144 nucleotides) under Micromonas pusilla CCMP1545. It matches the Rfam family "tRNA". Rfam says of the family: Transfer RNA (tRNA) molecules are approximately 80 nucleotides in length. The record is from Rfam by way of RNAcentral. Lineage: Eukaryota; Viridiplantae; Chlorophyta; Mamiellophyceae; Mamiellales; Mamiellaceae.
GUUCCCUUAGCUCAGUUGGUUAGAGCGCGGUGCUAAUAUAGGUUAUGGGCCUCGCGCCCUCAAAAGCUUAAAGCACAAGGUCUGCUUCACAGCAGACUGUCCGCAGAUACGCCGCGGUCAUCGGUUCGAACCCGGUAGGGAACA